GCUGAGAUCGCGUCCUGCCCCGCUCGCUGGGGUGGCCCCGGCAGAACUCAUUUGACGUUCUCCGAACACCUCCCCUCUUCCUCAUCUAAUCACGGAGCAACCACGCUGUCAGGUGAAGCACGGCCAGGUUGGAGUGAAGGAGGCAUCCCCCUUCCUGGGAGAGGAGAUCCGGACAAAGCAGCAGCCUCCACGGAGGAGCCGCUAAGAGUUGCAGGAGGGUCUCGUACCAGUGUUGAUGGGCCCAUUCCGGGGCUUUGAGGAUGACCUGCGUCCUGUCUGCUUUUACUUUUUGCAGGACUUUGCCUAUCGGGGGAAUGGUGGGAAGGCAUAGAAAAGUUGGCCCGAUCACUGAAGGAGGAAGGCAUCUGAGAUUGUCCCCCCUUCCCUCCCCUUCCCUGGAGCAGAACUGGGGGCAGCAUUGGUUCUGGGCAGUUGCAAAGAGGUCGACCCAGGGAACUCCCCACUCUCGGAAGAGCUGUAGGGCGACCUCCCAGUGGAGUGACCACUUGUACUGGUGAGAAAAAAUCCUGCUGAGGUGAUUGGAUUGCACAUUGUGGGUGCCAGGCCGAGAUCUGUACAUGUGGACAGAAGAAGUUCCACCUGGCCCUGUAUAUGGGACCAAGAAUUGCCCUUGAGACGCCAAUCGCCCAGGUGGACAUCAGUUUGGUCCACAAACAACGCUUUCUCGUCAAAGGGAAGGUCCUGCAUCAAGGACUGGGACUCUGUGGACAGUCCGGACAGGAGAAGCCACAACGCCCUGCGCAUGGAUAUGGCAGAGGCCAUCGAACGGGCUGCUGUGUCUGCUGUGUUUGAUGCCGCCUGGAGGGCUGCUUUUGCCGCUGACACUCCUUCCUCUACCAGAGCCCUUAACUCCUUUUUGUCCCGCUCUGGAAGGAGAGGUUCGAACUUUGGUAGGGACCUGCCUGAAUUGAAGUCUUAUCAACUUAGAAGAGCUUGGUGAUUGGCCACCCUGAGCUGGAAACUGGCCGAGGAAUAAACCUCCCUGCUAAACAUG
This is a long non-coding RNA of Gopherus flavomarginatus (Mexican gopher tortoise), 1015 nucleotides long. RefSeq lists it as uncharacterized. The transcript is spliced from 4 exons. Lineage: Eukaryota; Metazoa; Chordata; Testudines; Testudinidae. The record is from RefSeq and is a predicted model, not a curated record.